CAAGUUUUUCAUUGGGUUUAAGUAAGGAGGCCAGAGUAAAGAACUCUUCGGGCUAUACGUGCUGCGAAUUUUAGCGGAUAUGGACUUGGAAGACAUGAACAUGAUCCUUUUGGGCAAGAAUGAUGAUGCGGUUGUCUGUUGUUUUUUCUUCUUCCAUAGUCGUUUUUAAAAGGCUGUUACUCGCGGAUCCCAGGAAAAACGUAGCCAAACUUACCUUGAAAGCCUUUGAUAAUGAAGGAGGUGAACUCUA
This is a long non-coding RNA of Drosophila persimilis, 250 nucleotides long. RefSeq lists it as uncharacterized. The record is from RefSeq and is a predicted model, not a curated record. The transcript is spliced from 3 exons. Lineage: Eukaryota; Metazoa; Arthropoda; Insecta; Diptera; Drosophilidae.